This 62-nucleotide transfer RNA is filed under the name Aleyrodes shizuokensis. Its description in RNAcentral is "tRNA-Glu". Lineage: Eukaryota; Metazoa; Arthropoda; Insecta; Hemiptera; Aleyrodidae. The record is from RNAcentral.
AUUUUUAUAGUUUAUUUAAAACAUUAUAUUUUCAUUAUAAAAAAAAUUAAUAUUUAAAAAUU